This 118-nucleotide ribosomal RNA is filed under the name Gadus morhua (Atlantic cod). The record is from RNAcentral. Lineage: Eukaryota; Metazoa; Chordata; Actinopteri; Gadiformes; Gadidae.
GCUUACGGCCAUACCACCUUAGGCACGCCCGAUCUCGUCUGAUCUCGGAAGCUAAGCAGGGUCGGGCCUGGUUAGUACUUGGAUGGUCACCGCCUGGGAAUACCAGGUGCUGUAUGCA